GAUGAACGCUGGCGGCGUGCCUAAUACAUGCAAGUCGAGCGAACAGACGAGGAGCUUGCUCCUCUGACGUUAGCGGCGGACGGGUGAGUAACACGUGGAUAACCUACCUAUAAGACUGGGAUAACUUUGGGAAACCGGAGCUAAUACCGGAUAAUAUAUUGAACCGCAUGGUUCAAUAGUGAAAGACGGUUUUGCUGUCACUUAUAGAUGGAUCCGCGCCGCAUUAGCUAGUUGGUAAGGUAACGGCUUACCAAGGCGACGAUGCGUAGCCGACCUGAGAGGAUGAUCGGCCACACUGAAACAGAGACACGGUCCAGACUCCUACGGGAGGCAGCAGUAGGGAAUCUUCCGCAAUGGGCGAAAGCCUGACGGAGCAACGCCGCGUGAGUGAUGAAGGUCUUCGGAUCGUAAAACUCUGUUAUUAGGGAAGAACAAAUGUGUAAGUAACUAUGCACGUCUUGACGGUACCUAAUCAGAAAGCCACGGCUAACUACGUG
Molecule: ribosomal RNA, 497 nt
Filed under: uncultured bacterium
Lineage: Bacteria
Description: partial 16S ribosomal RNA
Rfam family: Bacterial small subunit ribosomal RNA
Source: RNAcentral